UGGGGUGUAGCUCAGCGGUAGAGCGCCCUCCUUGGAGAAAACCUUACAUUAGGGUUUUGUCCAAGAGGGGACAUCUAUUACGGCAUAGGUUCGAAUCCUAUCACCCCAA
RNAcentral lists this transfer RNA (109 nucleotides) under Desulfuribacillus alkaliarsenatis. RNAcentral's name for it is "low GC Gram-positive bacterium strain AHT28 tRNA". It matches the Rfam family "tRNA". Rfam says of the family: Transfer RNA (tRNA) molecules are approximately 80 nucleotides in length. Their secondary structure includes four short double-helical elements and three loops (D, anti-codon, and T loops). The record is from Rfam by way of RNAcentral. Lineage: Bacteria; Bacillati; Bacillota; Desulfuribacillia; Desulfuribacillales; Desulfuribacillaceae.